Sapajus apella (tufted capuchin) is the source of this 173-nucleotide long non-coding RNA. RefSeq lists it as uncharacterized. The record is from RefSeq and is a predicted model, not a curated record. The transcript has 3 exons. Lineage: Eukaryota; Metazoa; Chordata; Mammalia; Primates; Cebidae.
UUGUUAUAGGUCCAUUCAGAUUGUCUAUUUCUUCUUGAGUUUGUUUUAGUGAUUUUCUUCUUUCUAAGAAUUUGUCCAUUCCAUCUAAAUUAUCUAAUUAGUUGGCAUACAAUUGUUCAUAUAUUCCUUUAUAAUCCUUUUUAUCUCUAUAAGGUCAGUAAUCUUCCCACUUU